GCAAGUCGAACGAGGUGUAGCAAUACAUUCUAGUGGCGGACGGGUGAGGAACACGUAGGAAUUUGCCUUAGAGCGGGGGAUAGCCCAGGGAAACUUGGAGUAAUACCGCAUGAUGUCGAAAGACCAAAGCAGGGGACCGCAAGGCCUUGCACUCUGAGAGAAGCCUACGUCUGAUUAGCUUGUUGGUGAGGUAAUGGCUCACCAAGGCGACGAUCAGUAACUGGUCUGAGAGGACGAUCAGUCACACUGGAACUGAGACACGGUCCAGACUCCUACGGGAGGCAGCAGUGGGGAAUAUUGGACAAUGGGCGCAAGCCUGAUCCAGCAAUGCCGCGUGUGUGAAGAAGGCCUUCGGGUUGUAAAGCACUUUAAGCAGGGAAGAAAAAACUCGAGCUAACAUCUUGAGUCUUGACGGUACCUGAAGAAUAAGCACCGGCUAACUCUGUGCCAGCAGCCGCGGUAAUACAGAGGGUGCAAGCGUUAAUCGGAUUUACUGGGCGUAAAGGGUGUGUAGGUGGUUUGACAAGUCGGUUGUGAAAUCCCCGGGCUCAACCUGGGAACUGCUUCCGAGACUGUUUGACUAGAGUACGGUAGAGGGCGGUGGAAUUUCCGGUGUAGCGGUGAAAUGCGUAGAUAUCGGAAGGAACACCAAUGGCGAAGGCAGCCGCCUGGGCCUGUACUGACACUGAAACACGAAAGCGUGGGGAUCAAACAGGAUUAGAUACCCUGGUAGUCCACGCCGUAAACGAUGGACACUUGACGUCGGCAUGCUCUGCGUGUCGGUGUCGUAGCUAACGCGAUAAGUGUCCCGCCUGGGGAGUACGGCCGCAAGGUUGAAACUCAAAGGAAUUGACGGGGGCCCGCACAAGCGGUGGAGUAUGUGGUUUAAUUCGAUGCUACGCGAAGAACCUUACCUGGCCUUGACAUGCUAGGAAUCCUGCAGUGAUGUGGGAGUGCCCCGCAGGGAACCUAGACACAGGUGCUGCAU
RNAcentral lists this ribosomal RNA (988 nucleotides) under uncultured Gammaproteobacteria bacterium. RNAcentral describes it as "bacterial SSU rRNA". It matches the Rfam family "Bacterial small subunit ribosomal RNA", at positions 57 to 1046 of the family's 1533-position model. Lineage: Bacteria; Pseudomonadati; Pseudomonadota; Gammaproteobacteria. The record is from RNAcentral.